UGAACGCUGGCGGCAGGCCUAACACAUGCAAAUCGAGCGGAUGAAGGGAGCUUGCUCCUGGAUUCAGCGGCGGACGGGUGAGUAAUGCCUAGGAAUCUGCCUGGUAGUGGGGGAUAACGUCCGGAAACGGGCGCUAAUACCGCAUACGUCCUGAGGGAGAAAGUGGGGGAUCUUCGGACCUCACGCUAUCAGAUGAGCCUAGGUCGGAUUAGCUAGUUGGUGGGGUAAAGGCCUACCAAGGCGACGAUCCGUAACUGGUCUGAGAGGAUGAUCAUUCACACUGGAACUGAGACACGGUCCAGACUCCUACGGGAGGCAGCAGUGGGGAAUAUUGGACAAUGGGCGAAAGCCUGAUCCAGCCAUGCCGCGUGUGUGAAGAAGGUCUUCGGAUUGUAAAGCACUUUAAGUUGGGAGGAAGGGCAGUAAGUUAAUACCUUGCUGUUUUGACGUUACCAACAGAAUAAGCACCGGCUAACUUCGUG
RNAcentral lists this ribosomal RNA (482 nucleotides) under uncultured bacterium. RNAcentral describes it as "partial 16S ribosomal RNA". It matches the Rfam family "Bacterial small subunit ribosomal RNA", at positions 30 to 507 of the family's 1533-position model. The record is from RNAcentral.